Molecule: ribosomal RNA, 32 nt
Filed under: Frullania lobulata
Lineage: Eukaryota; Viridiplantae; Streptophyta; Jungermanniopsida; Porellales; Frullaniaceae
Description: partial 5.8S ribosomal RNA
Source: RNAcentral
AAAUGGACUCUCAGCAACGGAUAUCUUGGCUC